Molecule: long non-coding RNA, 1269 nt
Filed under: Vulpes vulpes (red fox)
Lineage: Eukaryota; Metazoa; Chordata; Mammalia; Carnivora; Canidae
Description: lncRNA (ENSVVUG00000017712.1)
Source: RNAcentral
GAAAAAACGAAAUAUCCAACUUUUCACUACAUUUUACAUGUUCACGUCUUCAGCCUGUCUUGUUUGUUCCGUUUCUUUAAACAUUUCUUUUUGAUCUUCUCUUUCCUUCCUUUUUAUUUAAGAUUUUCCUUUCUAGGCAGAAGGGCCUUUCCUGCCCCUUCCCCCUGGCGGCUUGGGUCUAAUGUGCAAACUCCUCCUCCAAACCUUAGACCCUUCCAGCUCUAGAUCUCUCCCCACCUCCUAUCAAGCCCACCCGUCACUCCUUCCCCCACCCCACAGCACGAACACGCCCAAGGACAAUCGCUCCCCAGCGAACUCGCUGCACUCAGGGACCAGUCCCCAGGACGCUGUGCAGGCGGUCAAGGACAGCGAGUCAGAGAGGUAGGGGACGGGGCUCAGGGGACCCAAGGACGGGGUGGCCGUGUGUGUGUGUGUGUGUGUGUGUGUGUGUGUGUUUGCGGGAGCGUGAACGCGAACGUGGAAGCGAGAGGGGGGUGGAUGGGAGACUCCCAUUUGACCCAGACUCCUACUUCUAAGCCCCUUCCUUCCAAACUAGGAUGGGCCCUGCCGCUGAGCACCCGUCCAGCACCCACCAGCCUGCACGCAGGAGGCAGCGCGGGGAAGCACAGCCACAAACAGACCUCCAAGGAGCCCUCCGAAAGUAGUGACGCUCACUCCCCCACCAGCAGAUUAUUCGAGGAAGAGAUGGGCGGGAGGGGGGCAAAAUCUCUUAUUUCGCGAUAAUUUUAGCUGCCCAUUAGACCCCACUUGUUCUGAGAUCGUUCUCUCUAAAUUUACCGAGUUAAGUCAUCUUUCUUUCGUCCAUUUGCCUUCGAGAGAAGCGAGGGGUUGGGGGUGGGAAUGUCGCUUAGGGGUCAAUGAAAAAUCCAGAGCUUCUGAGUUUAGUUUUGCGCUUCUGAGCCCCCGCUGCCCAGUUCUCUGGGCAGUGGCUUGGCCCACUCCAUCUCUGAGCCCCCCCCCCCCAUCCCCCCCCCCCUUCCUUCCUGCAGCCUCUGCCAUCCCUCGGCCACUUCUCUUGCCAGGACCUUUUGACUCGCGCGAUUGGGGGAGGGGAGCGAGUCUAAGCGCAGGAGACAUCACUAGAGGCAGCAUGACAUCGCCAAAAGAACAAAGUCUCUGCAGCUUAUCAGACCAGCUAUGAGACCCUGAGUGUCUCGAGAUUCAGUCUAUUCUCUGGUCAUGGGAACAGUCAUGCUUAACUUGCAGAACUGCUGGAGGAGAAACCAAAGGAAGGGGGAUGUGGCUGAG